CCGGUGGUGGUGCUGUCUGUUGUUCCAUCUGUUGUGGUGCUUUCUGAUGUUGUCAUCUCCGUUGUUGUAUUUUCUGAAGUUGUGGUACCGGUGGUGCUGCUUUCUGUUGUUGUAGUAUCCAUUGUGGUUUGUAUCAUUGUAGUGGUUUCUGUUGUUGUUUCAGUUGUGGUGCUUUCUUUUGUUGUUGAAGUGUCUGUUGUUGUAAUUUCUGGAGCUGUGGUAACAGUGGGGGUACUUUCUGAUGUUGUAGUGUCUGUUGUGGUUUCCACUGUUGUACUUUCUGGAGUUGAGGUACCAGUGGUAGUGGUUUCUGUUGUUGAUGUACUUUCUGUUGUUGUGGAUUCAGUUGUGCUUUCUGUAGUUGAGGUACCAAUGGUAGUGGUUUCGGUUGUUGUACUUUCUGGUGUUGUGGUACCGGAGGUUGUACUUUCUGUUGUUGUCUCAGUUGUGAUGCUGUCUGUUGUUAUUGUUGUUUCUGCUGUUGUACUUUCUGGUGUUGUGGUACCGGAGGUUGUACUUUCUG
Cyprinus carpio carpio is the source of this 523-nucleotide long non-coding RNA. The record is from Ensembl. Lineage: Eukaryota; Metazoa; Chordata; Actinopteri; Cypriniformes; Cyprinidae.